Molecule: ribosomal RNA, 253 nt
Filed under: uncultured bacterium
Lineage: Bacteria
Description: partial 16S ribosomal RNA
Rfam family: Bacterial small subunit ribosomal RNA
Source: RNAcentral
UACAGAGGUCCCGAGCGUUGUUCGGAUUCACUGGGCGUAAAGGGUGCGUAGGCGGUCGGGUAAGUCUGAUGUGAAAUCUCACAGCUUAACUGUGAAACUGCAUUGGAUACUAUUCGGCUUGAGAGUUGGAGGGGGGACUGGAAUUCCUGGUGUAGCGGUGAAAUGCGCAGAUAUCAGGAGGAACACCGAUGGCGAAGGCAGGUCUCUGGGCCACUACUGACGCUGAGAAGCGAAAGCAUGGGGAGCGAACAGG